RNAcentral lists this long non-coding RNA (139 nucleotides) under Dromaius novaehollandiae (emu). Its description in RNAcentral is "lncRNA (ENSDNVG00000007688.1)". Lineage: Eukaryota; Metazoa; Chordata; Aves; Casuariiformes; Dromaiidae. The record is from RNAcentral.
CACAUACUUUGCUGAGUGAUUAUCGUUGACUUCAGUGGGAUAAUCUGCAUGCUUCAGGUCAAGUUCUUAUCAAGUACAUCAUCAGUGACCUGCAAAAUGACAAGAAAGCUGUCCUCAGUUACCUGUCUUAUACCAAACC